GACAGAGGGUGCAAACGUUGUUCGGAAUUACUGGGCGUAAAGCGCGUGUAGGCGGCCCUGCAAGUCGGAUGUGAAAUCCCACGGCUCAACCGUGGAAGUGCAUUCGAAACUGCAGGGCUAGAGUCCUGGAGAGGAAGGUGGAAUGCUUGGUGUAGAGGUGAAAUUCGUAGAUAUCAAGCGGAACACCGGUGGCGAAGGCGGCCUUCUGGACAGUGACUGACGCUGAGACGCAAAAGCGUGGGGAGCAAACAGG
Molecule: ribosomal RNA, 253 nt
Filed under: uncultured bacterium
Lineage: Bacteria
Description: partial 16S ribosomal RNA
Rfam family: Bacterial small subunit ribosomal RNA
Source: RNAcentral